GUUGCUAUCCGCUAUCUUGGAGGGCAUGUUACUAAAACACUGACGGUAAUCUUCUUCUUACCUCAACUCCUUGCAAUUCACUGAUGGUUUAGAGCUUAAAGCAACAACUUGUUUCAAAAACAGAACUGAUUUCUAUUUCUGGCAACAUGAUGUUGAUUACAAGUCAAAGUAACCACAAAUGUUGCUAGCAACAUGUUGCCUAGUAUAUGGAGAGCUAGGCUGCUGGUCAGACAAAAUUGAAGAGCGUUGGAGACAGAUGGCUCAGUAAUAACAAAUUCUAUUAUUAUUAUUAUGAUUAAAGGACUUUACAGUACUAAUUAUACAGUAGAACAUUAAAUUGAGAGCA
Long non-coding RNA from Amphimedon queenslandica, 346 nucleotides. RefSeq lists it as uncharacterized. Lineage: Eukaryota; Metazoa; Porifera; Demospongiae; Haplosclerida; Niphatidae. The record is from RefSeq and is a predicted model, not a curated record. The transcript is spliced from 2 exons.